GAUGAACGCUGGCGGCGUGCCUAAUACAUGCAAGUCGAGCGAACGGACGAGAAGCUUGCUUCUCUGAUGUUAGCGGCGGACGGGUGAGUAACACGUUGAUAACCUACCUAUAAGACUGGGAUAACUUCGGGAAACCGGAGCUAAUACCGGAUAAUAUUUUGAACCGCAUGGUUCAAAAGUAAAAGACGGUCUUGCUGUCACUUAUAGAUGGAUCCGCGCUGCAUUAGCUAGUUGGUAAGGUAACGGCUUACCAAGGCAACGAUGCAUAGCCGACCUGAGAGGGUGAUCGGCCACACUGGAACUGAGACACGGUCCAGACUCCUACGGGAGGCAGCAGUAGGGAAUCUUCCGCAAAGGGCGAAAGCCUGACGGAGCAACGCCGCGUGAGUGAUGAAGGUCUUCGGAUCGUAAAACUCUGUUAUUAGGGAAGAACAUAUGUGUAAGUAACUGUGCACAUCUUGACGGUACCUAAUCAGAAAGCCACGGCUAACUACGUG
This 497-nucleotide ribosomal RNA is filed under the name uncultured bacterium. RNAcentral describes it as "partial 16S ribosomal RNA". It matches the Rfam family "Bacterial small subunit ribosomal RNA", at positions 28 to 507 of the family's 1533-position model. The record is from RNAcentral.